Lathyrus oleraceus (garden pea) is the source of this 2473-nucleotide long non-coding RNA. RefSeq lists it as uncharacterized. NCBI's taxonomy places the organism in Eukaryota, Viridiplantae, Streptophyta, Magnoliopsida, Fabales, Fabaceae. The record is from RefSeq and is a predicted model, not a curated record. The transcript has 7 exons.
UGGGAACAGAAACCAUUUGUUGCCUCUGGGUUCUCUCCAUCUCAAUCCAAAGUUCUCUCUCGUCAAAAACCCCAUCUCCACAAAUCUCUCUCUCUCAAUCUCGCGCACCAUCGCUUAACCUCGCUCAUUUCUCACAAUCUCUCAUUCGCUCUCAAGCGCUACCCACGAACUCUCUCACGCUCUCAGCAAACUCUCUCAAUCGCGUCUCUCUCAAUCUCACUCACACCAAACCCUCAUUCAAUCGAUCGCGUCCUCAACCUCUAGUCUCCCUCACGAAAUCGCUCAGUCAUCGUCCCUCAAGCUAAACGCGACAAGACAAAGAAGCCAUGGUUCCCAAGAGAAAGUCGGACAGGACGGCUAACCUUCGACGGUGACGGCGAGCUCAGGGUUUGGGAUUUGGUCUAUGGAGUCCAAAAGAGUAUCCUGCAAAAGCCCUUUAGGGAUUCUCAGUUUUGGAUUUCCCUAUUCGAUGCUAAAUCAAAAACGUGAAUUCGGAGUGGGUAUACACUGAUGUAACGCAAGCAAUAGUUGAUUCCUUAAGCUUGGUGUUCUUGUCAUGAAUCAAAGGAAUUAACUUAGCAAGCCACAAUCUAGUAUGCCAAUAUCAGCAGCAACAACAUAAUGAUAAUCAGCAUCACUUUGCUGAUUGACUCUUUGUUCAUUAGAAUUUGGACUCUCUGAUUCAUUUGAAGCUAGGAGAAAAAUCCUCAGUUGUAUCAUCUCAACUACCUGGAACCUUUUUAGUGAACAAAAUCUUGAGAAGGUGAGAUCAUGCUCGGAUAGCGCCUCAGAAGUUGAAGAUUCAGCCAAUCAGUAAGGUACAACGUUGUGGUUCCUUCUCUAAGCUUCUUGAAAUGGUAAGUUCAACUAAGUCUCCUAGUUUUCAAAACAGGUAAAUCUGCAGGCUGUGUUGCAGUAACUCAUUCUCUAAUCAUUGCAUUUCAACACCCUCAGAAACAUAGUAAUCACAUGCAACACAGCUUUUUGACAUUGCUAGACAAACUCUUGAUCUCUUACAUGAUUUAUUAUGCAGGAAUUCCUGAAGAGUCUGAUCAUCACCAGCCAAUGGAACAAGGAUAGAAGGAAAUUCGGCCCAAAAGUUCAGUUUGCCAUUUAUCUUGUGACAGACUACAUGGAAAUGCAUAGCACUGAAGACUUUCAAUCUGAACUGCAGCAGGAACACCCUCACGGUGCAGCUAAGAAAUGGAGGUGUUCACGGAAGCAUUUACAGAUAUACAACUGGUUAAUGCAAGAUUCUUCAGAACCGCCGGAGUUUAACGAAAUGGAUUUUGGGUAUGACAUAUUCUUGGGAGCUACAUCCUUAGAACCUGUACCGUGCAACCGGUCCCUUGAUGUAUGCUUGUAUUAUUCUUGCAACAUCUACUUCUCUCCACGAAUGUUGCCUUUGAAGUUCUUGCAUCCGGUUAAGGAUUACGUGUUAUUUGUAAAAGCUGCAUUUCACUUAUCCAGGACUGCUGUCUAAAGAAAGACUGAAACAUGCCUGAUGGUCAACUGAAUUAGUUAUCGCGCCAUCACAGAGGUCGGCGCUUGCGAGAAAGCUUGACCUUGUCAAUAAACCUGUUGCCGUGAUAUUGGUGGAUGGUACAUAAGCAACUACAUUUUUAUUAAUCCAUGCAGCAACUGCUGAAGGAGAUUCUCCGAUUCUCAGUACCUCUCCGUUGGUGACAACAACAAUAGCGUCGAUGCUGUUUUUUUGAAAAGGCUUGUAGUAAGGUGCAAUGGAAGAGAUCGUGCAAGCUUGCCCAUAUCAACCUUUAGAAGCACUUCUUUUUCAGUAUUGAACCGUGUUGGACAUGUUGAUCGUGUGGAAUUAGAUGCAAGGCUAUGAAGUGCGUUGGAUAGGGGGCUGUUGUAGGUUGUUGCUUUUUUUGGAUGCUGGUUCCGUUGUGGUUUUUGAUACAUUGUUGUGGAAUUUGGAGGAACCAAACUAAUUCAAGAGGUUAAGGUUUUGGUGCAGAAUUAUGCAGAAUUUUGAUGCUUAUUAUGCAGAAUUUUGAUGCAGCAUUAUGCAGAAUUUGGUGCUUCUUAUGCAGAAUUUUGAUGCUGAAUUGUGCAGAAUUUUGAUGCUGAAUUGUGCAGAAUUUUGAUGCUGAAUUGUGCAGAAUUUUGAUGCAGUAUCAUGCAGAAUUUUGGUGUUCAUGUGAAUGUCUUGCUAAAACUUGGUAAUUUGAAUGGUAGCAAUGUUAAUUACAAAUGACUUCUAUUUGGAUGGCUUAGGAUUUCUUGGAUUUGGAUAUGUCUUUGGAUAAUUGUUUUGGAGUUAAAUGAUUAAUCGAACGUAUGUAUGAAAAUGAGUUUGGACAUGUUGUAAUGGUUGUGCAAUGUCAUGGUUUAUGGAAAUAUGUAUGUUGCAAUUUGGUUCAUGGUUAUGUAAUGGCCUAGAUAUGAAUGCAUGGUUGAAUAUGAUUUUUGAAUGUAUGAUAUUAAUGAAUGAAUGAGAAUUUGGUUGAAA